AGUGAACGCUGGCGGUAGGCCUAACACAUGCAAGUCGAACGGCAGCACAGUAAGAGCUUGCUCUUACGGGUGGCGAGUGGCGGACGGGUGAGGAAUACAUCGGAAUCUACUUUUUCGUGGGGGAUAACGUAGGGAAACUUACGCUAAUACCGCAUACGACCUACGGGUGAAAGCAGGGGAUCUUCGGACCUUGCGCGAUUGAAUGAGCCGAUGUCGGAUUAGCUAGUUGGCGGGGUAAAGGCCCACCAAGGCGACGAUCCGUAGCUGGUCUGAGAGGAUGAUCAGCCACACUGGAACUGAGACACGGUCCAGACUCCUACGGGAGGCAGCAGUGGGGAAUAUUGGACAAUGGGCGCAAGCCUGAUCCAGCCAUGCCGCGUGGGUGAAGAAGGCCUUCGGGUUGUAAAGCCCUUUUGUUGGGAAAGAAAAGCAGCAGGUUAAGACCCCGCUGUUCUGACGGUACCCAAAGAAUAAGCACCGGCUAACUUCGU
This 491-nucleotide ribosomal RNA is filed under the name uncultured bacterium. RNAcentral describes it as "partial 16S ribosomal RNA". It matches the Rfam family "Bacterial small subunit ribosomal RNA", at positions 29 to 506 of the family's 1533-position model. The record is from RNAcentral.